RNAcentral lists this ribosomal RNA (436 nucleotides) under uncultured bacterium. RNAcentral describes it as "bacterial SSU rRNA". It matches the Rfam family "Bacterial small subunit ribosomal RNA", at positions 354 to 796 of the family's 1533-position model. The record is from RNAcentral.
GUCGAGGAUCUUCGGCAAUGGGCGCAAGCCUGACCGAGCGACGCCGCGUGUGCGAUGAAGGCCUUCGGGUUGUAAAGCACUGUCGAGGGGGAGGAAAGCCCGCAAGGGUCUGACCUAUCCCUGGAGGAAGCACGGGCUAAGUUCGUGCCAGCAGCCGCGGUAAGACGAACCGUGCAAACGUUGUUCGGAAUCACUGGGCUUAAAGGGCGCGUAGGCGGGCAGCCAAGUCUGUGGUGAAAUCUUUCGGCUCAACCGGAAAAUUGCCGUGGAUACUGGUUGUCUUGAGGGAGGUAGGGGCCUGUGGAACUUCCGGUGGAGCGGUGAAAUGCGUUGAUAUCGGAAGGAACGCCGGUGGCGAAAGCGACGGGCUGGACCUUUUCUGACGCUGAGGCGCGAAAGCUAGGGGAGCAAACGGGAUUAGAUACCCCGGUAGUCC